RNAcentral lists this ribosomal RNA (432 nucleotides) under uncultured bacterium. RNAcentral describes it as "partial 16S ribosomal RNA". It matches the Rfam family "Bacterial small subunit ribosomal RNA", at positions 338 to 795 of the family's 1533-position model. The record is from RNAcentral.
CCUACGGGUGGCUGCAGUGGGGAAUUUUGGACAAUGGGCGAAAGCCUGAUCCAGCAAUGCCGCGUGUGUGAAGAAGGCCUUCGGGUUGUAAAGCACUUUUGGGAACCGUGCGGUACCCGCAGAAUAAGCACCGGCUAACUACGUGCCAGCAGCCGCGGUAAUACGUAGGGUGCAAGCGUUAAUCGGAAUUACUGGGCGUAAAGCGUGCGCAGGCGGUUAUGUAAGACAGAUGUGAAAUGCCCGGGCUUAACCUGGGAACUGCAUUUGUGACUGCAUGGCUAGAAUCUGGCAGAGGGGGGUAGAAUUCCACGUGUAGCAGUGAAAUGCGUAGAUAUGUGGAGGAACACCGAUGGCGAAGGCAGCCCCCUGGGCUAAAUUGACGCUCAUGCACGAAAGCGUGGGGAGCAAACAGGAUUAGAUACCCUUGUAGUC